This 10107-nucleotide long non-coding RNA is filed under the name Homo sapiens (human). Its description in RNAcentral is "HSALNT0234311". Lineage: Eukaryota; Metazoa; Chordata; Mammalia; Primates; Hominidae. The record is from RNAcentral.
UGCUGUGCUAGCAAUCAGCGAGACUCCGUGGGCGUAGGACCCUCCGAGCCAGGUGUGUGAUAUAAUCUCGUGGUGCGCCGUUUUUUAAGCCGGUCCGAAAAGGUUAAUAUUCGGGUGGGAGUGACCCGAUUUUCCAGGUGCGUCCGUCACCCCUUUCUUUGACUCAGAAAGGGAACUCCCUGACCCCUUGCGCUUCCCAAGUGAGGCAAUGCCUCGCCCUGCUUCGGCUCGCGCACCGUGCGCGCACCCAUUGACCUGCGCCCACUGCCUGGCACUCCCUAGUGACAUGAACCUGGUACCUCAGAUGGAAAUGCAGAAAUCACCCGUCUUCUGCUUUGCUCACGCUGGGAGCUGUAGACCGGAGCUGUUCCUAUUCGGCCAUCUUCGUUUGAGUCCGCCUCUGUAUUUUAAUGCCCUUUGACUUGGUUGCCAAGUCAUCCCGUUCAUCCCUUUAGUUGCCAAGUUACUGUCCUCUAGGGGAGGGCCCCUAUCUUAUUUCAUUUGCUCCUGUGUCUAGCAAGAAAUAUGGCCUAUAUUGAAGCUUUUAGUAAAUAUUUCUUCAGUAAGUGAGUGAAUGGCAGUUAGAAUGAUUUAGAAACCAACUGGCUCACAAAGUCUAUUUAAACUAUAGUACUGAACAAAGACCAAAGGAGAAAAGCAAAGGCUAUCGAUUCUGAGCUUGCUAUAGCAAAGGAGUCGGCCACCAUCACUAGCGUUUGCGCAGAGACUCAAAGGCAGGCAGAGGAAUGCAAAAGCUUUAAGACCCACGGAAGAGAAGGCUCAGGUGUGCUGAUUGGACUGUUGGCGUGAAGAAGCUGGAGAUGUUUCCACUCACAAUAUUGGUAAAUGUAGAGUUUGCCUCUACUGACUGUCAGCUGAACAUCUUGGUUAAGACUCAGACUGCCUGAUUCUUCUCUUCCACUUACAAGCCUUGGGAAAGUCACAUAUAACCAUGUGGAACCUCCACUUCCUCACAUGGAAGGACCCUCUCGCUAGAAACAUUUGGAUACAUGACAGUUCGCUUGCUCUGACCAAGGAGGAACAGCUGCCCAUACUCAGUUCCCUGGGUCUAAGAGACACUCAGACAACAUCUUUGUUAAAUUCAUUAUUUGCAAAGGCCUGGGCAGAAGACCAAAACAGAAAAAGAGGAGAACCAAAUGACAACUCGGAGGAAAUGAUCAGGACUGAGAAGGAGAGGAGAAAAUCCAAGAGGCCAGACCCUCACGUGGACCCUAUUGUCUCUUCCUUCCAACCUCCCAGCCUAUAAACACCUGUGCUAAGCCCAGCUGCCCAGCCCAGGCCCCAUCUGUGGGUGAGGCCUGAGACUUUUCGACCUUGCCUUGGCUGAGCACCGUUAUUACCACAUGCCUAAGACCCGUGCUCCAAUGCAUCUAUCAGGAAUAAAGCUGAUGUCUUAAGCCCCCUGUCUCAUUUCUCCAUUGGUUCAGAAUUCAGGGGAAAUUCUGUUUAGGGACUGACCCCACCAAACAAAGCAACAGCAUGUGGUGAAGAACCCUGCAUCUGUUCUGAUUUAAUUUCACCUCAUUUAGUUCCAGCUGGGUUUGUGUUGCUCAUACCAAGAUGGUAUGUGAUAUUAACUCUGAGUCAACAGCUCAGAGGAAUGUCAAGAAAGAAACUGGAAAUGGUUCAGAGGAGGCUAAAUAGAAUGAUGAACGUUCUGGAAACUAGGCCAUGGGAGGAAUGGUAAAAGGAAUGAGAAGAUUUAGUUCAAAGAAGAUUUGACUCUGAUAUGAUGCAGUCCACAUGUUUCAAGGGCAAUCAUGCAAAAUAAUACUUUAAUUAGAUUAUGUGACUUCCAAGAGCAGAGUUAACUUCAAGGGAAGAAUAGUUCGCUCAUUAUAAGGAAGAUAUUUACAACCAUUAGCAUUGUAUAAAAAUGAAAUAACUUCCACCAAUAGGGGGUCAACUCCCUGUCACUGGGAUUAUUCAAAACCCCAGUGGAUGAAAUGGGAUGAUCCUGAAAAUGGUGUUCAGGUGUUGGGAAAUGGUUGGGUCUGAAAUAAAGUUUAUCUAUAUGAUUUUUUUUUUUUUUUUUUUUUUUUUUUUUUGAGACAGAGUUUUGCCUUGUCGCCCAGGCAGACAGUGCAGUGGCGCGAUCUCGACUCACUGCAAGCUCCGCUUCCUGGGUUCACGCCAUUCUCCUGCCUCAGCCUCCCGAGUAGCUGGGACUACAGGCGCCUGCCACGGCGCCCGGCUGAUUUUUUCUAUUUUUAGUAGAGGCGGGGUUUCACCGUGUUAGCCAGGAUAGUCUCCAUCUCCUGACCUCGUGAUCCGCCCGCCUCGGCCUCCCAAAGUGCUGGGAUUACAGGCAUGAGCCACCGCGCCCGGCCAUCUAUAUGAUUUUUAUAAACCCUAAAGUGGCUGAAUGAUCUGUUCUUGGCUGCUCACCCCUUUCCCCCCAAUAUCACAAGUGACCUGAAACAAGGAGGGCAGGCCAGGGGAGACCCCUUGCAUGUGGCCAGAUCCUGCCUGGGGAGCCCCAGUCCCCACAUUGCACUUGCUAAUGGGAGGGAACAUGGAAGCCUCAAAGCUCUAUGUGCUCCACUAGGGAAAAGCUUGGCCCAAGACGAGCUUCUUUCUCCCCUCAUCCUUCCUUGAAGGAGUCUGUGAUAGCCUGAAUAAGAAGACAGAGGCCCUGACAGCAAAGUAACCCACAGAAAUGAUGUCAAGAGAUGCAACUGCAUAAGCAAGAGAAAAGUUUCUUCUCUGCCUGCUCCUCUCUGCAGGAACCAGAGCAGAAGUUGGAAGCUAACAUUUGGCCACAAGAAUGUGUUCUGUUUGAUCUAUGGGAUUGUUUAAAAUAUAAGAAAGAGACCAGAUGCAGUGGCUUACACCUGUAAUGCCAGCACUUUGGGAGGCCGAGGCAGGUGGAUUAGCUGAGUUCAGGAGUUCGAGACCAGCCUGGCCAACAUGGUGAAAGCCCAUCUCUACUAAAAAUACAAAAUUAGCUGAGCAUGGUGGUGGGUGCCUAUAAUCCCAGCUACUUGGGAGGCUGAGGCAGGAGAAUUGCUUGAACCCAGGAGGAGGAGGUUGCAGUGAGCCGAGAUCGUGCCAUUGCACUCCAGCCUGGGUAACAAGACCAAAACUCCUUCUCAAAAAAUAAUAAAUAAAAUAAAAUAAAAUAUAAUAUAAGAAAGAAAUCAUUGCCAACUUGUUUUAAAUGGGAGAUUUCACACACAAAGAUCCACAAUUUUCUAUUUCCUCUUAAAUACCACAAAAAUGGCAAAGUGGCAAUAAUUGACUGGAAAUAGGAAGCAGCUGCCUUCUCUAGUCAUGAGGUAUGUGCUCCAGUUUGCAUGGAACUUACCACCCUCCACCAAGUUUUAGACACUGAGGCCAAGUGCGAUAGUUCUGGCUCACGCCUGUCAUCCCAGCACUUUGGGAGGCUGGGCGUGGUGGCUCACGCCUGUCAUCCUAGCACUGUGGGAGGCUGGGCGUGGUGACUCAUGCCUGUAAUCCCAGCGCUUUGGGAGGCUGAGGCGGGAAGAUCACUUGAGGUCAGGGGUUCAAGCCCAGCCUGGUCAAAAUGGCGUAACCCCCUCUCUACUAAAAAAUACAAAAAUUGGCUAGGCAUGGUUGUGGGCCCCUGUAAUCCCAGCUACUCGGGAGGCUGAGGCAAGGAGAAUUGCUUGAACCUGGAAGGCAGAGAUUGCAGUGAACCAAGAUCGCACCACUGCACUCCAGCCUGGGUGACAGAGCGAGACUCUGUGCAUAAAAAAUUAAAAAAAAAAAAAAGAAAAGAAAAGAAAGGGAAAAGGAUCACAAGAGGAGAUGAUAAAUUUUUUUUAAAACAUGCCAAAUUUAAAGUUUCAGGCUAAAAUUCUGGAAAUAUGAGUCAGGAGCUCAGAAGAAUGUCAGGUAUACAAAACCACGAUUUGCCAGUCCUCUCUCAGAGGAGAUAAUUGAUACCACAGGAGCAGGUAUGACUUUGCUGCUGGGUAGAGAAUGCAGCCAUAUAAGAAGGUGGAGUAAAGACAGAGUCAGAGAUUACCUUGGAGGAAGUGUAGGAAGAACCCGGAAGAGUCAAAGGACAAAGAAGCAUGGAAAUGCAGUUCCUGCAAGGCUAACGAGGCCAUGAAAAGAAAGAAAGUAUGGUCGGCAGUGCUGGAGCAGAAGUCAAGCUCUGGUGAUUAGAAGGACACCAGUGACACUUAGAGAGCAGUUUCAGCAGACUGGUGGAAGCCAGUGGAUGUUCUAUUUGUGCCACAUCCUGGGUAAGCAGGAGCACGCUUAGAACCAAAUCAGCAUAAAGCCUUGUCCAGGGCAAGCCAACAAUUAAGUCACUACAGAACAAUGGAGCUUCCAACAGCUCAGCCAUGUCACUCUGCCCUUUUUAUGCAAAUGACCCCAGCAAAAAGAACAGCAAAGGUAAGUACCUAAGUGAGUGGGCAGAUUGGGACAAUCCUAUUGUGUCCAACUAACGACCAUGAAAAGGAGAGGACGUUUCACCCACAUGGUUGGUUCACUCACUGUGCAUUCGCUCAUUAACACUGUGUUAGGCCUAACGUGCUGAGAGACUGAGAAGAGGCACAUGGUCAUAAAAAGAGACCUGGUUCCUGCCUUCAAGCCGCUUGCAGUAUAGUUGGCAUGGAUUUCCAUGCAGUCAGAAUACUCCCCAGUCAAAACACUCCAUCUAUAAUGCCUGAUACAAUCAUUGUUCAAACUUUCACAAAAUUACCCGGGUUAUCAAAACCUUUUUUAUGCUUCCCUGUAGUAGGUAAAGGUAAAACUUAAACCGCAUGAUAAGUGGGGACAUUUGUUCAUGUAAAAAUCAUCUGGUAGACUGAAUUAUAGACUCACUAAGGGCCAUCCUUUCAACAUCCACCAUCACUUUGUUGCUCAUGCUUCUCCAGCAUCUAUCUACAAAUCUAACCAAGUUCUAUUUCAUUAUUUCCAAUUUCCAGUGACACUUCACUUGAACUACCCUUCACUGCUCUCAGACUCAGUUCUGAAGUCAAGCUUAGCACAUGGCAUGUCUCAAAUCAUCACCCUCUGCAAACAUCCCUAGCCCUGUGUAUGGUACUCUUAUUUCAUCAUCCCUCAUAAGCAUCUUCUACACCCAAUCAAUUGCCAAGCUCUGUAUUAAGCAGAGUCAUGGGCACAUAACAGAUGUUCAAUAUUUACUUGUUGAUUGAAUGGACACGUUUUAUAUCCUGGGUAACCUUUGUGGUCUAAUACCAACUAUGGAUCUAACACUUCUAAUGACAGUGGUUAAGAGGAUGGCUUUUGGUGAGAGAUGGAUCUGAUCUGGGUUUAGUCCAAUCUUGGCUACUUAGUAGCUCAGUGACUUUGGACGCAUUUCCUUGUUUACAAAUGUGAAUUAUUAGGGUUGUGAGAAUCAAAUAUAAAAUGCAUGUAAAGGUUAGAGCACAGAGAUGUUAUUUCUCUUAGUCUCUUAGUCCACUGUCAAUGUUUAUCCAUCUUAAUAAUCUAACGUGAAAUCCAAAGGAGUCCAAACCCCAAGAUGAUACCCAUGGUAUUCAACUUGAGAACCUUAUUUGGACUGUUCAGUAAUUGCAAGAAGGGAUGAUCACUCACGUGAGACACUUUCUUGUGAGCAUAAAAUAUUUUCACUGAAAACAGAUCUUACUUCUCCUCCUGGAUCCGUUCUCCAAUAUAUCCAGUUUUGAAAUUUUCAAUUAAAAAUUAUCUAAUGCAGCAAGCCUUAUUGAGUGCUAGCUGUAUUUGUUGUAGCUACUUAACCAAUUAGGCUGGAAUACCUUCUCACUUUCCCCCUAGAAAACUAAUUUUAGAUUCUUAACGAGGUCCCUCUUUUUUUGUCAAGCUUUCCCCAGCUCCACACACAAGACCUGUGUCUGCCUGGGAUCCGCUUUGGGAAUGAACCUGGAGGUUUCUUAUGUGCCCCAUCACACAGCCACAGUUGGGUGUGGCCGUGUCUUCCCCAGUGGUCCAUGAAGCCCUGAGGUGUCUGCUCUGUACACAGUAGAUGCUGAGUCGGUUCUCAAUAUUUGAGAUGACUGGAGGGGGCAGGAUGAAAGGCCAGAGGAUAGAAACUUAAAGUUACCUGUGCAUCUCCUGCCAAGCUUAGAGGGUAGGCUGAGAAGGACAACGUGUAACCUCAGAAGAGGGGGAAGGAACUCCAGUGAAUGUGUGUCCAAGAUGAAGGAAAAGUAGGAAUUUUGAUCCCAUCGCUUGACAGUAAUUUCCUGGUCUUAAAAUUUUCUUCCCCCUUUGCUUCUGGAAAAUGCAUGGCACAUACUGGGCCCUCAAUGAAUAUUUAUUGAGUGAAUACAUGAAUGCUUCUUCUCUCUGUUUGUCAACGUUUUCUUUUGUUCUUUUUGUUCCUUCAUGUUCUUCCUAACUACUCAAGCUUUCCCCUCACCACCCCAAUACAGUCAUUCUCUCUCUCUCUCUCUCUCCCUCUCUCUCUCUCUCUCUCUCAUCUGCUAACUCCAUCUAUAGUAGUAUAACAUAUGCAGGGGUGUGUGUGUGUUUGUGCGUGUGUGUGUGUGUGUGUGUGUGUAUUAUUUUCCAUUUACAGAGGAGAAAACAGAGUCCCAAAAUCCAAAACCGAGCACCAAAGUUUACACAGCUGUCCACACAGCUAGUAAUAAAGAUGCAGCAAAUAAGAUGCUAUUCCCCCAGAACCCUCCCACUGUUGUGUGCAUCAAUCCAUGGUGCACUUUGACUCCCAGCAGCCAGCACCUGCGAUUCUUUCCCCAAAGGACCAGAACCCACUUUGCCAGCCAGUGUCCACAUGGUGCCAGAAGUGCAUGGAAUUAAGUCUCCCCUCCUGCCCACAACCAAGGGGGAACAGGGGUGACUGCCCUUAACUAAUGAUUGACUGGUGUGAAGGCAUAAAGACUACAGCUCUCUAGUCUCCAAUUGGCACAGCUCUGAUGAGUGAUCCACACCACCCCACGUCCGCCCAGGGUGAUCAAGCCCAAGUGAUCUUCAGAGGACUUCUCAAUGUCUCACCCUUACCUGGCUUCUUCCUUUUCCCUGCCCAUCUUCUCUGGAAACCCUCCUAAUAAAUCUUUCCCACAAAUCCUCACAGAAAGCACUGCCUCUGGGGACCUAGCCUAAGGCAAGGUAGAUGCAGGAUUCAAACCCAAGCCUGUGUGUCUUCAAAGUUUUUUCCCACUAUGUUGUGGUUGAGAUGUUAUUACAAUCGUGUUGGUCUGCUCUUUGUUCAUUUUACAGUUAUACAUUUAAAAUGCAUCAUACAACCCUGUCUCUACUAAAAAUACAAAAAUUAGCCCAACGUGGUAGCACGUGCCUGUAAUCCCAGCUACUUGAGAGGCUGAGGCAGGAGAAUCACUUGAACCCGGGAGGCAGAGGUUGCAGUGAGCUGAGAUCAUGCCACUGCACUCCAGCCUGGGCAACAGAUUGAGACCCCAUCUCAAAAAAUAAAAUGAAAUAAAAUAAAAUAAAAUGCAUCACACAUACAUUUUAAAUAUUUGAAUGGCCUCUGUGGUUUCAGGUAUCUUGAAGACAAAUAUGUAUUCAAACACUCUAUGCUUGCUUACUUUUUCUUACUGUAAUUAUAUUGUCUCUGAGGCAACAGACUUUUGAACAUCUUAGCAAAAUGAAAUAAAGGGCUCAAAGGGGAGAAAAAAGUCAUUUUUUUAAAUUUGUCUUUGUAAUUGCCUCUCACCUGGGUCCAAAAUUAAAUACAAACUAAAAGGAGCUUUAGCUGUUUUGUGUUCUCUUUUAAGUAUUUUUAUUGUAUGAGUAAUGUAAUCACACCAGAGAAAUUUGAAAUCCAGGAGAGAAAAUAACACGUAAAUAGUCUAAUCCAACCAUUAACCAACUAUUUCCUUUAUAAACUAUUUCCUUUCAUUUACAAACUAUUUCCAGCACACUAAUCCAACCAUAUACAAACUAUUUCUUCCAGCUGUUAUCACAGCUUUUUGCCCAGCCCAGGAAUCUAUGCAUUUGACGUGGCUGUAGACUUGUUCCAACCCUGGGAUUUCCUGUGUGUUUUCCUUUGGCCCAAGCAGUUUUCCAUGUAACACAGUCCUUGUGGCUGUCAUUUUUAAUGGUUGCACAUUGUUAUACCCAGAGGAUGUACCAUAUAUUAUCACCCUUUUUGUUGCUUUUGAUAUUUAAUAUUAAUCUAAAUUAAAUAAUAAGAUUGUGUUGAAUGUGCCAUUUUGGUUUUGCUUCUACUCUUUUUUUCAUAUUUCAGAUUAUGUCUUCAAAAUAAAUUUCCAAGACUUGAAUUAUCAGAUAAAGGAACCAUAUGUAUGGUUUUGAUGUACACUGCCACAUUUUUCUUUGGUCCUGCCCCACCACAAUGCGUGCUAAUCUAUGUUAUCAUAAGCCAAUCUGGAACAAAGGUUAUUCCAAACUCAGCGUGGCUUCUUCAUUCUUUAAAGAGUUGUGGUCUAACAAAAUGAAUUCAUUUUAAAUUUCUCGAUUUCAUACAAAGGUCUUGAGGCCUUGUCUAGGAUGAUAUGAGCACAUAGCAUUCCUCAUAAAAAUGACAGAGAACUUGAAAAUAACAAAGAACGUGAAAGUGACAUUUCAGUCAUCCUUAAAUAUAUGUAGUGCUCAUCUUAAUUCUAAGCUUUCUUCAUUGCCAUAAGCAUUUCAUGCAGGGAUUAGUCCUUGAGCUUGAGUUGCCUAAUUGAUUCAAUCAUCCUCACUCAACACUAAAUGCACGGCACCUUUCAGUGGCUGAUGUGGGCUCACUGAGUUGGGUGCAUAUUUUGUGAGCAUUAAUUAACACCUGCAUCUUGAAAUGCAGAGGAUAAAGAAUGUUGACAAAAUAAACAAGCAAGAAGGGAUUCCCAUUUUCUCAGCUACCCUGUGGUUUGCCUGAGCUCAUCCUAAGGUUUCAUAACAGAACAGGACACAGAACAGGAAAAUUGAGACUCUCUUACAAAUUUCACCGAUAAGCCAUUUGAGAAUUCUAAUAAAAAAGUGGAAAAUCCAGCCAGACUCCCAGAUACAUGAUUCCAGGUGAUAUCAGACAUUCUUGCAGAUAAACAUCCCAUUGACUGAAUUUUCUCCCUCUAAACUUUCAAAAAUUAAUUUAAAGAAGCUUCUUUUCUGUGGCUUGUCUAACCCCAACAAGCACCAAUUUGCAUUUUGUUUCAAGAAAGCAUUUUACUUUAACCCAAAAACAAAGUCUGUUUCUCUGCAAAUUGUCAAGCCCCAGAUUUUCUCCCAACCACAUCCCCAUGCCAUUCUUGCCUUCACCCUGAGGAUCAUGGUCAGAGGGGUGAUGAUCUCCCCCAAAUGAUUCCACAGCUGAUUUUUUUUUUAUUUGGUAGGGCUUUCUGGGUUAGGAUAACGCUGGAUAAUCCUAAUUACAGCCCUAUCCAAGCUUAAACUCCAUAACCAAGCAAAAAUUUUACAACUCAAAGAAAUUUAAUUUGGCCUCACACUUGCAAUGGGGAAACACACACACACACACACACACACACACACACACACACACACAAACAAGGGAAAAACUGGCAGCUCAGCUAACAGGCAACUGAAUGUUGGACACGAUGCCAAGUUGGUCCAAUUAAGAAACAUUAGAGGUCUAAUGAGGAACAGUUCAGACAGGACACAAGGUUCUUGACAGCAGCCAAGCAAACUGCAAAGUCUCCAGCCCAGGUAAGUGAAUCCCUUCAAUAUUUCAAAACAGCAAGGGACAAGUAGAACUUGGCUUGUAAGCGUUCUUGCAUACCUAGGGAAGAAGAGUCCAGGUGGAGAACCUGGCCAAACAAUGAUGUCAGAACAAAAGUCCAUUUAAGCCUAAAAAACAAUCUAUGGGACAUUCCUGGGUACAAUAGAACACAUGAAAUAUUGCCAUUUUGCCUAUUAAUAUUUAUUCCUGGGAAAUUUUAACAAAAUCAUUGUCUGGGUGCACUUCAUCCUCUCCUUCCCUCCCACUACCAGCCCCUUCAAAUGCACCUCCUGGAAAAAACGGAACGAAAACAGUGUCAUGAAAAAUACUUGGGUGAGGGCUUUCAUUUACUCCAUGCCAAGUAUUUUAUUUUUAAGCCAGAUUUGACAAAGUCCUGCUAAGGCAAAGCAAGUUUCAGAUCAUACCCUCAGUGAAAAUUGUAGCACCGUCUGCUUACCUGUCACCAGGACUGCCUUCUGAUCCACAGGUAACAAUUCUUG